AUGGCCACCGAGUUCGCCCCUAUUCUAGGUCCUCCUGACCGCAUCCCUCCUGAGCACUUUGACAUCGGAAGCUGCAGCAAGUGGCCUGCUGAUCGCCAUGUGCUUGAUUGCCGCCACGGCCGUGUCCUCGUGAAAGACGACCUGAAGCAUGAGGUUGUUGUGUGUGACCCCGUCACAGGCGAGCAGUGCCGCGUGUCCAUUCCGCCGGAGUUCAAGAAUACUCGUGCCCACAUCCACGGGGCGGUGCUCUGUGCAGCCACCGACCAUGACCACGUGCAUGGCAGCUGCCACUCUACCUCCUUCAAGGUGGCCUUGUUGUCCAUCUACAGGCAGGAUAGGCGGCCAGUCGCCUGUGUUUACUCCUCAGAGACUGACACGUGGGGAAAUCUCAUCACAGUAGCGGAACCAUGUGAGCCUCAUGGUUUUCUUAUUCAUGUGGCUCUUAUUGGUAAUGUCCUUUACUGGAGCAUACUUGAGUUUGAUUUUGAUAGGCAGAAUCUAGCUAUGAUCAAGGGGCCUAGUGGUAUAAAUAAACUCCACAGAUUUCAUAUCAUCAUCAAGACAGAGGAUGGGGGUGUUGAUCUUGCCGUAUUAUCUGCACCGAGAAUUCGCAUAUGGCAAAGGAAGGUCAAUUGUGAGGGUGUUAGCACAUGGUUGUUGCAGAAGACCAUUGGCAUGAAUAAAAUUCUUAGGAUCUCUCCUCGCAUUAAGAGAAAUAUGGGACGGCUGCUGGGGUAUGAUGAGGAUACUGACGAAAUAUGUUUGUAUAUAUAUGUUUGUAUAUAUAUGUCAGUGUCUAUAUGGUCCAACUUAAGUCAAUGCAAUACAGGAAACUGUAUAAAACCAAUUAUUAUACAAACUAUUAUCCUUUCAAGAGUUUCUAUGUGCCAGCCCCUGCUGCUGGAUGUGGUGGACUGA
Molecule: ribosomal RNA, 918 nt
Filed under: Triticum aestivum (bread wheat)
Lineage: Eukaryota; Viridiplantae; Streptophyta; Magnoliopsida; Poales; Poaceae
Description: partial small subunit ribosomal RNA
Source: RNAcentral